AAAACGACUCUCGGCAACGGAUAUCUYGGCUCAUGUAUCGAUGAAGAACGUAACAAAAUGCGAUACUUGGUGUGAAUUGCAGAAUCCCGUGAACCAUCGAAUUUUUGAACGCAAGUUGCGCCCGAAGCCUUUUGGCUAAGGGCACGUCUGCUUGGGCGUCACAU
Molecule: ribosomal RNA, 164 nt
Filed under: Packera eurycephala
Lineage: Eukaryota; Viridiplantae; Streptophyta; Magnoliopsida; Asterales; Asteraceae
Description: 5.8S ribosomal RNA
Rfam family: 5.8S ribosomal RNA
About the family: 5.8S ribosomal RNA (5.8S rRNA) is a component of the large subunit of the eukaryotic ribosome. It is transcribed by RNA polymerase I as part of the 45S precursor that also contains 18S and 28S rRNA. Functionally, it is thought that 5.8S rRNA may be involved in ribosome translocation.
Source: RNAcentral